RNAcentral lists this transfer RNA (97 nucleotides) under Paenibacillus sp. 32O-W. Its description in RNAcentral is "tRNA-Leu". The record is from RNAcentral. Lineage: Bacteria; Bacillati; Bacillota; Bacilli; Caryophanales; Paenibacillaceae.
CUCAGCUUCUGGUUGAGCAAUGACAAUCUGCGGUUAAGCGCCGCGAGGAAUCUGCCUCCCAGCCUGAACCAUUGGUUCGGCACCGAUUGGCUGGGGC